CCUCUCACACCUGUGCACUAUGUGUAGCUUGGGAUGAUUACAAUGUUGGAAACAAUGUUGAAAGCCCUAGCUAUGAAUUUUUAUACACCCAUAUAUAAAGUUAUAGAGUGGAUAGCGUAUAAUAGCGCAAAUAUAUACAACUUUCAGCAACGGAUCUCUUGGCUCUCGCAUCGAUGAAGAACGCAGCGAAAUGCGAUAAGUAAUGUGAAUUGCAGAAUUCAGUGAAUCAUCGAAUCUUUGAACGCACCUUGCGCUCCUUGGUAUUCCGAGGAGCAUGCCUGUUUGAGUGUCAUGAAAUUCUCAACUGCCCUUUUAGCAUUUAUGUUAAGGGUGAAGUUGGAGUUGGAGGAUAAUUGCUGGCGCAACUAAGGUUGCUUGUUGGCUCCUCUUGAAUGGAUGAGCUUUUCUGAUAGAUCAUAGCUCAGUAACACUAAUGUGAUAAUUAUCUACGUUAGAUGUGAAAGCUGUGAGUAGAGUGACUUCAAAUAUGAAGAUGCUCCUACAGAAAAGGUAUGUCUUGGGGAAAACAAACCCUUGACUUUCAAAUACAAUGACAAAUCUACCUCAAAUCAGGUAGGAC
RNAcentral lists this ribosomal RNA (580 nucleotides) under uncultured Pseudotomentella. RNAcentral describes it as "eukaryotic LSU rRNA". The stretch from base 139 to 292 matches the Rfam family "5.8S ribosomal RNA". The record is from RNAcentral. Lineage: Eukaryota; Fungi; Basidiomycota; Agaricomycetes; Thelephorales; Thelephoraceae.